UGUUUGUUUAAAAGACUUAAAAGAGAGGGUC
Molecule: non-coding RNA, 31 nt
Filed under: Mus musculus (house mouse)
Lineage: Eukaryota; Metazoa; Chordata; Mammalia; Rodentia; Muridae
Source: RNAcentral